GAUGAACGCUGGCGGCGUGCCUAAUACAUGCAAGUCGAGCGAACAGACGAGGAGCUUGCUCCUCUGACGUUAGCGGCGGACGGGUGAGUAUCACGUGGAUAACCUACCUAUAAGACUGGGAUAACUUCGGGAAACCGGAGCUAAUACCGGAUAAUAUAUUGAACUGCAUGGUUCAAUAGUGAAAGACGGUUUUGCUGUCACUUAUAGAUGGAUCCGCGCCGCAUUAGCUAGUUGGUAAGGUAACGGCUUACCAAGGCGACGAUGCGUAGCCGACCUGAGAGGGUGAUCGGCCACACUGGAACUGAGACACGGUCCAGACUCCUACGGGAGGCAGCAGUAGGGAAUCUUCCGCAAUGGGCGAAAGCCUGACGGAGCAACGCCGCGUGAGUGAUGAAGGUCUUCGGAUCGUAAAACUCUGUUAUUAGGGAAGAACAAAUGUGUAAGUAACUAUGCACGUCUUGACGGUACCUAAUCAGAAAGCCACGGCUAACUACGUG
This 497-nucleotide ribosomal RNA is filed under the name uncultured bacterium. RNAcentral describes it as "partial 16S ribosomal RNA". It matches the Rfam family "Bacterial small subunit ribosomal RNA", at positions 28 to 507 of the family's 1533-position model. The record is from RNAcentral.